GCCGGGGUGGCUCCGUCGGUUGAGCGUCCGACUUCGGCUCGGGUCACGAUCUCACGGUUCGUGGGUUCGAGCCCCGCGUCAGGCU
Felis catus (domestic cat) is the source of this 85-nucleotide non-coding RNA. The record is from Rfam. NCBI's taxonomy places the organism in Eukaryota, Metazoa, Chordata, Mammalia, Carnivora, Felidae.